GGGCCGCACGCGCGCUACACUGACUGAGCCAGCGAGUACAUCACCUUGGCCGAGAGGUCUGGGUAAUCUUGUGAAACUCAGUCGUGCUGGGGAUAGAGCAUUGCAAUUAUUGCUCUUCAACGAGGAAUACCUAGUAAGCGUGAGUCACCAACUCGCGUUGAUUACGUCCC
Molecule: ribosomal RNA, 170 nt
Filed under: Fellomyces penicillatus
Lineage: Eukaryota; Fungi; Basidiomycota; Tremellomycetes; Tremellales; Cuniculitremaceae
Also listed under: 1 other name
Description: partial 18S rRNA
Rfam family: Eukaryotic small subunit ribosomal RNA
Source: RNAcentral